GACGAACGCUGGCGGCGUGCCUAAUACAUGCAAGUCGAGCGCAGGAAGCUGACGGAACUCUUCGGAGGGAAGGCAGUGGAAUGAGCGGCGGACGGGUGAGUAACACGUAAGGAACCUGCCUCAAGGAUUGGGAUAACUCCGAGAAAUCGGAGCUAAUACCGGAUAGUUCAUCGGACCGCAUGGUCCGUUGAUGAAAGGCGCUUCGGCGUCACCUUGAGAUGGCCUUGCGGUGCAUUAGCUAGUUGGUGGGGUAACGGCCCACCAAGGCGACGAUGCAUAGCCGACCUGAGAGGGUGAUCGGCCACACUGGGACUGAGACACGGCCCAGACUCCUACGGGAGGCAGCAGUAGGGAAUCUUCCACAAUGGACGAAAGUCUGAUGGAGCAACGCCGCGUGAGUGAUGAAGGUUUUCGGAUCGUAAAACUCUGUUGUAAGGGAGGAACACGUACGAGAGGGAAUGCUCGUACCUUGACGGUACCUUACGAGAAAGCCACGGCUAACUACGUGCCAGCAGCCGCCGUA
Molecule: ribosomal RNA, 523 nt
Filed under: uncultured bacterium
Lineage: Bacteria
Description: partial 16S ribosomal RNA
Rfam family: Bacterial small subunit ribosomal RNA
Source: RNAcentral